AUUGAACGCUGGCGGCAGGCCUAACACAUGCAAGUCGAGCGGAGGAAGGGAGCUUGCUCCUGGAUUCAGGGGCGGACGGGUGAGGAAUGCCUAGGAAUCUGCCUGGUUGCGGGGGAUAACGUCCGGAAACGGGCGCUAAUACCGCAUACGGCCUGAGGGAGGAAGUGUGGGAUCUUCGGACCUCACGCUAUCAGAUGAGGCUAGGUCGGAUUAGCUAGUUGUUGGGGUAAAGGCCUACCAAGGCGACGAUCCGUAACUGGUCUGAGAGGAUGGUCAGUCACCCUGGAACUGAGACACGGUCGAGACGCCUACGGGAGGCAGCAGUGGUGAAUAUUGGAGCAUGGGCGAAAGCAUGCUCCAGCAGUGCCGCGUGUGUGAAGAAGGUCUUCGGAUUGUAAAGCACUUCAAGUUGGGAGGAAGGGCAGUAGGUUAAUACGUGGCUGUUUUGACGGUACCAAGAGAAUAAGCGCCGGCUAACUACGUG
RNAcentral lists this ribosomal RNA (484 nucleotides) under uncultured bacterium. RNAcentral describes it as "partial 16S ribosomal RNA". It matches the Rfam family "Bacterial small subunit ribosomal RNA", at positions 30 to 507 of the family's 1533-position model. The record is from RNAcentral.